GUGGCCUUGGCGAAAUUGGUAAACGCGUACGUUUGAGGGGCGUAUGGUUCAGUCCUUGUGAGUUCAAGUCUCAUAGGCCACACCA
This 85-nucleotide transfer RNA is filed under the name Anaeroplasmataceae bacterium. RNAcentral describes it as "tRNA-Leu". It matches the Rfam family "tRNA". Rfam says of the family: Transfer RNA (tRNA) molecules are approximately 80 nucleotides in length. Their secondary structure includes four short double-helical elements and three loops (D, anti-codon, and T loops). Lineage: Bacteria; Bacillati; Mycoplasmatota; Mollicutes; Anaeroplasmatales; Anaeroplasmataceae. The record is from RNAcentral.